AGAACGAACGCUGGCGGCAUGCCUAAUACAUGCAAGUCGAACGAAGGCUUCGGCCUUAGUGGCGCACGGGUGCGUAACGCGUGGGAAUCUGCCCCUUGGUUCGGAAUAACAGUUGGAAACGACUGCUAAUACCGGAUGAUGACGAAAGUCCAAAGAUUUAUCGCCAAGGGAUGAGCCCGCGUAGGAUUAGCUAGUUGGUGAGGUAAAGGCUCACCAAGGCGACGAUCCUUAGCUGGUCUGAGAGGAUGAUCAGCCACACUGGGACUGAGACACGGCCCAGACUCCUACGGGAGCAGCAGUAGGGAUAUUGGACAAGUGGGCGAAAGCCUAGAUCCAGCAAUG
This 342-nucleotide ribosomal RNA is filed under the name uncultured soil bacterium. Its description in RNAcentral is "bacterial SSU rRNA". It matches the Rfam family "Bacterial small subunit ribosomal RNA", at positions 26 to 396 of the family's 1533-position model. The record is from RNAcentral.